UUUUAUACUACUCUCGGCCGAACCUCAUCACAUACAACCACUUUCAAAAUUUCAACUUAUUUUCUUGAAGAUCAUGGCCAUUUCAAGGUAGUUUUGAUUCGGUUUGAAGAUCUAAAGGUGAUUCCAAGACGAUUUCAAAGAGGAACAAGCUCAUUUUCAUCAAAAAUCUCAUCAAAAACCCACUUUUGUUCUUGAAAGGUGGGUAUGAUGAUGAUUGUGUACAUGAGUUCGGCUUCGAGGAUUUUGGCUUAUGUCGUCAUGUGGUUGUUGUUGUUUUUUGUAAUUAAAUAAUUAUGUUUGGACACUUUUAAAAACUGUUAUGGGACCGUGUGUACUAAGACCUCUAGGGUUUAAACAACUUCGCUAUGGUUGUGGACUAUGUUUACAACUUUAAAACUUUAUGUUU
RNAcentral lists this long non-coding RNA (406 nucleotides) under Helianthus annuus (common sunflower). RNAcentral describes it as "sRNA HanXRQr2_Chr04g0175461". The record is from RNAcentral. Lineage: Eukaryota; Viridiplantae; Streptophyta; Magnoliopsida; Asterales; Asteraceae.